This 254-nucleotide ribosomal RNA is filed under the name uncultured bacterium. RNAcentral's name for it is "partial 16S ribosomal RNA". It matches the Rfam family "Bacterial small subunit ribosomal RNA", at positions 524 to 776 of the family's 1533-position model. The record is from RNAcentral.
UACGUAGGGUGCGAGCGUUAAUCGGAAUUACUGGGCGUAAAAGCGUGCGCAGGCGGCGCGUUAAGACAGGUGUGAAAGCCCCGAGCUUAACUUGGGAAUUGCGCUUGUGACUGGCGUGCUGGAGUGUGGCAGAGGGAGGUGGAAUUCCACGUGUAGCAGUGAAAUGCGUAGAGAUGUGGAGGAACACCGAUGGCGAAGGCAGCCUCCUGGGCCAGCACUGACGCUCAUGCACGAAAGCGUGGGGAGCAAACAGG